AUGAAAUGCGACUUGUUUUUAUGCACAUGCAUGUGGUACCAACCGAGUAUAACUCUCAACUUAAUAAUCUGCCAAUUAAUAGAGACAUCAACAAGGCAUAAGCCUUCAACUUUAUAUUUGUCAAUUCAGGUCAACUUACCGAGCAUGAGCUCCCAACUUGAUAUGCUAUGUAUGCGACAAUAA
Molecule: non-coding RNA, 183 nt
Organism: Vicia faba (fava bean)
Lineage: Eukaryota; Viridiplantae; Streptophyta; Magnoliopsida; Fabales; Fabaceae
Source: the annotation of a GenBank genome assembly